GACCGGCAAACGGGUGCGGAACACGUACACAACCUUCCUUUAAGUGGGGGAUAGCCCAGGGAAACUUGGAUUAAUACCCCGUAAUACUAUGAAGUGGCAUCACUUUAUAUUUAUAGCUCCGGCGCUUAAUGAUGGGUGUGCGGCUGAUUAGGUAGUUGGCGGGGUAACGGCCCACCAAGCCUGCGAUCAGUAACUGGUGUGAGAGCACGACCAGUCACACGGGCACUGAGACACGGGCCCGACUCCUACGGGAGGCAGCAGUAAGGAAUAUUGGUCAAUGGACGCAAGUCUGAACCAGCCAUGCCGCGUGGAGGAUGAAGGUCCUCUGGAUUGUAAACUUCUUUUAUUUGGGAAGAAACCCAUAGUUUCUACUGUGGUUGACGGUACCAGAUGAAUAAGCACCGGCUAACUCCGUGCCAGCAGCCGCGGUAAUACGGAGGGUGCAAGCGUUAUCCGGAUUCACUGGGUUUAAAGGGUGCGUAGGUGGGUUGGUAAGUCAGUGGUGAAAUCUCCGGGCUUAACCUGGAAACUGCCAUUGAUACUAUCAGUCUUGAAUACCGUGGAGGUCAGCGGAAUAUGUCAUGUAGCGGUGAAAUGCUUAGAUAUGACAUAGAACACCAAUUGCGAAGGCAGCUGGCUACGCGAAUAU
This 649-nucleotide ribosomal RNA is filed under the name uncultured bacterium. RNAcentral's name for it is "bacterial SSU rRNA". It matches the Rfam family "Bacterial small subunit ribosomal RNA", at positions 93 to 740 of the family's 1533-position model. The record is from RNAcentral.